UACGUAUGGAGCAAGCGUUAUCCGGAUUUACUGGGUGUAAAGGGUGCGUAGGCGGCACAGCAAGUCAGAUGUGAAAGACCGGGGCUCAACCCCGGGGCUGCAUUUGAAACUGCCGAGCUUGAGUCCGGCAGAGGCAGGCGGAAUUCCUAGUGUAGCGGUGAAAUGCGUAGAUAUUAGGAGGAACACCAGUGGCGAAGGCGGCCUGCUGGACCGGAACUGACGCUGAGGCACGAAAGCGUGGGGAGCAAACGGG
This 253-nucleotide ribosomal RNA is filed under the name uncultured bacterium. RNAcentral's name for it is "partial 16S ribosomal RNA". It matches the Rfam family "Bacterial small subunit ribosomal RNA", at positions 524 to 776 of the family's 1533-position model. The record is from RNAcentral.